Molecule: non-coding RNA, 339 nt
Organism: Coffea arabica (coffee)
Lineage: Eukaryota; Viridiplantae; Streptophyta; Magnoliopsida; Gentianales; Rubiaceae
Source: RefSeq, a predicted model, not a curated record
AACUACUCUCCGCUGCAAAUCACCUAUCCAUCACUCCUUUUCUCGAUCAUCUCUCCUCGCUUCCCUUUUGUCCAUCCAAAAUCAUCUUUCUUCUCCAUACCAAAACCUCUAAGGCUCAUUUUAUGAAGAAGUCUUCCUUAAAUUCAACUCUCCUUUUAUCUCCUCCUCUUCUAUCUAAUUUUUUCCCCACUAUUGGAAGCUGAAAAUCUGAUACAGAUCGACAUAAUUUGCAUAUCUUGAAGACUAAUGGAGCACGAGAAGAAGGAAAGAAUAGUUCAGUUUUUGGCAAAAUGUUCACUUCAGCUUGAGAUGUUAAGAUCUGCGAAUUCUUUUCUCAAG